This 388-nucleotide ribosomal RNA is filed under the name Ctenophora sp. (in: diatoms). RNAcentral describes it as "Ctenophora sp. (in: Bacillariophyta) partial small subunit ribosomal RNA". It matches the Rfam family "Eukaryotic small subunit ribosomal RNA", at positions 582 to 975 of the family's 1831-position model. Lineage: Eukaryota; Bacillariophyta; Fragilariophyceae; Fragilariales; Fragilariaceae. The record is from RNAcentral.
AUUCCAGCUCCAAUAGCGUAUAUUAAAGUUGUUGCAGUUAAAAAGCUCGUAGUUGGAUUUCGGAACCGGCCGAUUGGUCCGUCCUCUGGAUCGUGUACUGAUCGGUCUGUUCUUCUUCGCGAAGACCGCGUGUGCCCUUAACUGGGUGGGCGCGGGAUUCGCGACGUUUACUUUGAAAAAAUUAGAGUGUUCAAAGCAGGCAGUCGCUUGAAUAUCUCAGCAUGGAAUAAUAGAAUAGGACUUUGGUCUUAUUUUGUUGGUUUCCGAGACCGAAGUAACGAUUAACAGGGACAGUCGGGGGCAUUUGUAUUCAAACGACAGAGGUGAAAUUCUUGGACCGUUUGAAGACAAACUACUGCGAAAGCGUUUGCCAAGAAUGUUUUCAUUG